RNAcentral lists this unclassified non-coding RNA (449 nucleotides) under Hevea brasiliensis (rubber tree). Lineage: Eukaryota; Viridiplantae; Streptophyta; Magnoliopsida; Malpighiales; Euphorbiaceae. The record is from RNAcentral.
CUGAGAAGAAAGAAUAUCCAAUUGAUCCAUCGCUCCCUGAUAUUAAGAACAGCGUCUAUGCAACAGAUGAGUUUCGCAUGUACUCGUUCAAGGUCCGCCCAUGUUCUCGGGCAUAUUCGCAUGACUGGACCGAGUGCCCUUUUGUUCAUCCAGGAGAGAAUGCACGUAGAAGAGACCCACGGAAGUUUCACUACAGUUGUGUGCCCUGCCCUGAUUUUCGUAAAGGGGCUUGCAGGCGUGGUGAUAUGUGUGAGUAUGCUCAUGGGGUUUUUGAGUGCUGGUUACACCCAGCUCAAUACAGAACACGGCUCUGCAAAGACGGCAUUAGUUGCAACAGACGGGUCUGCUUUUUUGCCCAUACACCUGAAGAGCUAAGGCCCUUGUAUGUUUCUACAGGAUCUGCUGUCCCUUCACCCCGCACAUCUGCAUCUGCAGCUAGUGUCAUGGAC